AGCAGCCGCGGUAAUUCCAGCUCCAAUAGCGUAUAUUAAAGUUGUUGCAGUUAAAAAGCUCGUAGUUGAAUUUCGGGAUUGGCGCAUCGGUCGUGCCUCACGGGGUAUGAACUGGUGCAGUCAAUUUCUCACCUUCUGGAGAACCGCGAUGUCCUUAAUUGGAUGCCGCGGGGAACCAGGACCUUUACUUUGAAAAAAUUAGAGUGUUUAAAGCAGGCAUUUUUGCUUGAAUACAUUAGCAUGGAAUAAUAAAAUAGGACGGCAAUGGUUCUAUUUUGUUGGUUUCUAGGACCACCGUAAUGAUUAAUAGGGAUAGUUGGGGGCAUUAGUAUUCAAUUGUCAGAGGUGAAAUUCUUGGAUUUAUUGAAGACUAACUACUGCGAAAGCAUUUGCCAAG
RNAcentral lists this ribosomal RNA (397 nucleotides) under uncultured Entrophospora. RNAcentral's name for it is "SSU rRNA". It matches the Rfam family "Eukaryotic small subunit ribosomal RNA", at positions 569 to 962 of the family's 1831-position model. Lineage: Eukaryota; Fungi; Glomeromycota; Glomeromycetes; Entrophosporales; Entrophosporaceae. The record is from RNAcentral.